AACACAUGCAAGUACGAACGCGAACGUUUCCUUCGGGGAACUAGUAGAGUGGCGCACGGGUGAGUAACGCGUAAGUAAUCUACCCUCGCAUUCGGGAUAACCCACCGAAAGGUGUGCUAAUACCGGAUACGUCUCAUUUAAUAUCUUUUGAUGAGAGAAAGGUGGCCUCUUGAAUCAAAGCUACUGUGCGGGGAGGAGCUUGCGUACCAUUAGCUAGUUGGUAGGGUAACGGCCUACCAAGGCGAUGAUGGUUAGCGGGUCUGAGAGGAUGAUCCGCCACACUGGAACUGGAACACGGACCAGACUCCUACGGGAGGCAGCAGUGAGGAAUAUUGCGCAAUGGGGGCAACCCUGACGCAGCGACGCCGCGUGGAUGAUGAAGGCCUUCGGGUUGUAAAAUCCUGUCAGAUGGGAAGAAGUGUGUAUCACCCAAUACGUGAUACAUUUGACGGUACCAUCAAAGGAAGCACCGGCUAACUCCGUGCCAGCAGCCGCGGUAAUACGGAGGGUGCAAGCGUUGUUCGGAAUUACUGGGCGUAAAGCGCGCGUAGGCGGCUAGAUAAGUCAGAUGUGAAAGCCCGCGGCUCAACCGUGGAAGAGCAUUUGAAACUGUCUAGCUUGAGUACUGGAGG
Molecule: ribosomal RNA, 632 nt
Filed under: uncultured Desulfobacterales bacterium
Lineage: Bacteria; Pseudomonadati; Thermodesulfobacteriota; Desulfobacteria; Desulfobacterales
Description: bacterial SSU rRNA
Rfam family: Bacterial small subunit ribosomal RNA
Source: RNAcentral